ACCCUCCAGUUCCCUUGCCCACCUGAUCUAAGCACUAGUCUGAGUGGUUACAGAGGAGGAAAAGCAGCAUUGAUGCCGGCGUCAAUGCUUCCUGUGGCACCUGGGCUAGUUGCAAACAAGC
Molecule: small nucleolar RNA, 121 nt
Filed under: Echinops telfairi (small Madagascar hedgehog)
Lineage: Eukaryota; Metazoa; Chordata; Mammalia; Afrosoricida; Tenrecidae
Description: Small nucleolar RNA SNORA61 (ENSETEG00000024614.1)
Source: RNAcentral